This 82-nucleotide transfer RNA is filed under the name Bacteroidota bacterium. RNAcentral describes it as "tRNA-Leu". It matches the Rfam family "tRNA". Rfam says of the family: Transfer RNA (tRNA) molecules are approximately 80 nucleotides in length. Their secondary structure includes four short double-helical elements and three loops (D, anti-codon, and T loops). Further hydrogen bonds mediate the characteristic L-shaped molecular structure. tRNAs have two regions of fundamental functional importance: the anti-codon, which is responsible for specific mRNA codon recognition, and the 3' end, to which the tRNAs corresponding amino acid is attached (by aminoacyl-tRNA synthetases). tRNAs cope with the degeneracy of the genetic code in two manners: having more than one tRNA (with a specific anti-codon) for a particular amino acid; and 'wobble' base-pairing, i.e. permitting non-standard base-pairing at the 3rd anti-codon position. Lineage: Bacteria; Pseudomonadati; Bacteroidota. RNAcentral also lists the same sequence under 3 other names. The record is from RNAcentral.
GCCUAGGUGGCGGAACUGGUAGACGCGUACGACUCAAAAUCGUAUGCCUUCGGGCGUGCCGGUUCGAUUCCGGCCCUGGGUA